This 263-nucleotide ribosomal RNA is filed under the name uncultured archaeon. Its description in RNAcentral is "partial 16S ribosomal RNA". It matches the Rfam family "Archaeal small subunit ribosomal RNA", at positions 718 to 982 of the family's 1478-position model. The record is from RNAcentral.
AGUCACUGACAUUAGAUACCCCUGUAGUCCCAGCCGUAAACAAUGUGCGUUAGGUGUGUCGGUAACCACGUGUUACUGAUGCGCCGAAGAGAAAUCGUGAAACGCACCACCUGGGAAGUACGGUCGCAAGGCUGAACUUAAAGGAAUUGGCGGGGAGCACCACAACAGGUGGAGCCUGCGGUUUAAUUGGACUCAACGCCGGACAUCUCACCGGAUAAGACAGCUGAAUGAUUGCCGGGCUGAAGACUCUGCAUGACUAGCUG